GCAGCCUGAUGCAGCAACGCCGCGUGAGGGACGACGGCCUUCGGGUUGUAAACCUCUUUUAGUAGGGAAGAAGCGAAAGUGACGGUACCUGCAGAAAAAGCACCGGCUAACUACGUGCCAGCAGCCGCGGUAAUACGUAGGGUGCAAGCGUUAUCCGGAAUUAUUGGGCGUAAAGAGCUCGUAGGCGGUUUGUCGCGUCUGCUGUGAAAACUGGAGGCUCAACCUCCAGCCUGCAGUGGGUACGGGCAGACUAGAGUGCGGUAGGGGAGAUUGGAAUUCCUGGUGUAGCGGUGGAAUGCGCAGAUAUCAGGAGGAACACCGAUGGCGAAGGCAGAUCUCUGGGCCGUAACUGACGCUGAGGAGCGAAAGCAUGGGGAGCGAACAGGAUUAGAUACCCUGGUAGUCCAUGCCGUAAACGUUGGGAACUAGAUGUAGGGGCCAUUCCACGGUUUCUGUGUCGCAGCUAACGCAUUAAGUUCCCCGCCUGGGGAGUACGGCCGCAAGGCUAAAACUCAAAGGAAUUGACGGGGGCCCGCACAAGCGGCGGAGCAUGCGGAUUAAUUCGAUGCAACGCGAAGAACCUUACCAAGGCUUGACAUAUACCGGAAAAGUUCAGAAAUGUUCUCCCCGCAAGGUC
Molecule: ribosomal RNA, 637 nt
Filed under: Microbacteriaceae bacterium Ri2Pt_3990
Lineage: Bacteria; Bacillati; Actinomycetota; Actinomycetes; Micrococcales; Microbacteriaceae
Description: bacterial SSU rRNA
Rfam family: Bacterial small subunit ribosomal RNA
Source: RNAcentral